Molecule: ribosomal RNA, 1346 nt
Filed under: uncultured bacterium
Lineage: Bacteria
Description: partial 16S ribosomal RNA
Rfam family: Bacterial small subunit ribosomal RNA
Source: RNAcentral
GACGAACGCUGUCGGCGUGCUUAACACAUGCAAGUCGAACGGAAAGGCCCUGCUUUUGUGGGGUGCUCGAGUGGCGAACGGGUGAGUAACACGUGAGUGACCUGCCCUUGACUUUGGGAUAACUUCAGGGAACUGGGGCUAAUACCGGAUAGGAGCUCCUGCUGCAUGGUGGGGGUUGGAAAGUUUCGGCGGUUGGGGAUGGACUCGCGGCUUAUCAGCUUGUUGGUGGGGUAGUGGCUUACCAAGGCUUUGACGGGUAGCCGGCCUGAGAGGGUGACCGGCCACAUUGGGACUGAGAUACGGCCCAGACUCCUACGGGAGGCAGCAGUGGGGAAUAUUGCACAAUGGGCGGAAGCCUGAUGCAGCAACGCCGCGUGCGGGAUGACGGCCUUCGGGUUGUAAACCGCUUUCGCCUGUGACGAAGCGUGAGUGACGGUAAUGGGUAAAGAAGCACCGGCUAACUACGUGCCAGCAGCCGCGGUGAUACGUAGGGUGCGAGCGUUGUCCGGAUUUAUUGGGCGUAAAGGGCUCGUAGGUGGUUGAUCGCGUCGGAAGUGUAAUCUUGGGGCUUAACCCUGAGCGUGCUUUCGAUACGGGUUGACUUGAGGAAGGUAGGGGAGAAUGGAAUUCCUGGUGGAGCGGUGGAAUGCGCAGAUAUCAGGAGGAACACCAGUGGCGAAGGCGGUUCUCUGGGCCUUUCCUGACGCUGAGGAGCGAAAGCGUGGGGAGCGAACAGGCUUAGAUACCCUGGUAGUCCACGCUGUAAACGGUGGGUACUAGGUGUGGGGUCCAUUCCACGGGUUCCGUGCCGUAGCUAACGCUUUAAGUACCCCGCCUGGGGAGUACGGCCGCAAGGCUAAAACUCAAAGGAAUUGACGGGGCCCCGCACAAGCGGCGGAGCAUGCGGAUUAAUUCGAUGCAACGCGUAGAACCUUACCUGGGUUUGACAUGGAUCGGGAGUGCUCAGAGAUGGGUGUGCCUCUUUUGGGGUCGGUUCACAGGUGGUGCAUGGCUGUCGUCAGCUCGUGUCGUGAGAUGUUGGGUUAAGUCCCGCAACGAGCGCAACCCUUGUUCACUGUUGCCAGCACGUUAUGGUGGGGACUCAGUGGAGACCGCCGGGGUCAACUCGGAGGAAGGUGGGGAUGACGUCAAGUCAUCAUGCCCCUUAUGUCCAGGGCUUCACGCAUGCUACAAUGGCUGGUACAGAGAGUGGCGAGCCUGUGAGGGUGAGCGAAUCUCGGAAAGUCGGUCUCAGUUCGGAUUGGGGUCUGCAACUCGACCUCAUGAAGUCGGAGUCGCUAGUAAUCGCAGAUCAGCAACGCUGCGGUGAAUACGUUCCCGGGGCU